AUUGAACGCUGGCGGCAGGCUUAACACAUGCAAGUCGAACGAGUGGCGGACGGGUGAGUAAUGCUUGGGAAUCUAGCUUAUGGAGGGGGAUAACUACGGGAAACUGUAGCUAAUACCGCGUACCAUAGGAUGAGCCCAAGUGGGAUUAGGUAGUUGGUGGGGUAAAGGCGCACCAAGCCGACGAUCUCUAGCUGGGCUGAGAGGAUGACCAGACACACGGGGACGGGUGCACGGCCCAGACGCCUACGGCAGGAAGCAGGGGGGAUGAUUGCGCAAUGGGGUCAACCUGACUCAGCCAUGCCGCGUGAAUGAAGAAGGCCUUCGGGUUGUAAAGUGCUUUCGGUAGCGAGGCGUUACCUACAGAAGAAGCACCGGCUAACUCCGUGCCAGCAGCCGCGGUAAUUC
RNAcentral lists this ribosomal RNA (405 nucleotides) under uncultured bacterium. RNAcentral describes it as "partial 16S ribosomal RNA". It matches the Rfam family "Bacterial small subunit ribosomal RNA", at positions 30 to 526 of the family's 1533-position model. The record is from RNAcentral.